AACAUGUAUUCCUUCUCCCUAAACGCAACUUUGCAAAAGGCCGAUGUGCUGCUGUCAGAUGGAUUUCAAUGUUGACGCAGCCCGUGUAUCCAGCGAUUCAUUCCGGACAAUUCAUACUUCCAGAAUGAAGAAUUGACUCUCAGAGAAAGAGGAGCUUUGCCUGCGUCGUGGAUGUGUAUGGGAACUGUCCUGUCACUAACCUGGCACAAACUCAACUGGACUACGCCAAGCAGAACAUCUUUUGUGCCGGUCAAAAAUAUUUUGAUCUGGCCCUGCUGAUUUCCACUGGAUUGGACCUUCAAGGAACUGUAAAACCUCAAAAGCUCCCCUGCCACCCCCCGCCCCGUUUCAGGGUCCUCUUUAAUCCAGCAGUCUCCAUUUUGGAAAUGGGCUGGAAAGACUCACGCGAGGGUCAUACAGCAAGAGAAACAGGCCCAAAUCAUCAGUCGUGUCUGAAGAUAAAAACAGUUUUUAAAAAAAUGAAAUAAAGCUGGAUCAUCUUUCUUUUUAAGCCCCGGCCCCACUGUCAUUCACUGCUGUUGAAUCUUUUCAAGUGCGGGACAAAUGUUUAUGAUUGCCAUUUGUAUGUGGCAUUGUUUUCGGUGGCCUGGGCUCCAUUAACAUGGAAAUCACAUCAUUAUUGUUCCCAUAGAUUGCCGUGUGAGCGUCCAUAAUGAAUUAUCUGAAGUUCUAAUCAUGAGUUUCAUUUGAUUUCUCCGCGAGAGAUUUCCAUUUGAGCAUUUUGACGCAUGACCGUCACGAGCAUCUCUUUCGUCCUCCUCAUGCUUUGGCCCAUGCAGGUGGAAUUUAUGAUCAAUAAGUACGGUCUCUCAUAUGUACUCCUCAAGUCUGUCUCCAUUGAAAUCAUGGUCACUCGCUUCAUCAUCAUCACAGAUCAUUUGGAAGAAUAUCUUGCUCCAGAGGAACAACCUUGAUUCUUUUACGCUCUUGUUGAAGAGACUCACACAAAAAGUCUCCCCACUCUUACCAACACACCUCCCUUACAGUAUGCGUGCCCUUUUUUUCUGCUUUGGUCUUUAUAUUUUGUAUGUGUAUAUAAAUCAAUCUGAAAUGUUAUAGUUUUGUACAUGUAAUUUUUAUGGUGUGUGAAUAUUUUAAUAAAAAAUGGGUGGACUUUGCAAUUUA
Hippocampus zosterae (dwarf seahorse) is the source of this 1146-nucleotide long non-coding RNA. RefSeq lists it as uncharacterized. The record is from RefSeq and is a predicted model, not a curated record. NCBI's taxonomy places the organism in Eukaryota, Metazoa, Chordata, Actinopteri, Syngnathiformes, Syngnathidae. The transcript is spliced from 3 exons.